This 219-nucleotide long non-coding RNA is filed under the name Anas platyrhynchos platyrhynchos (common mallard). RNAcentral's name for it is "lncRNA (ENSAPLG00000028720.1)". The record is from RNAcentral. Lineage: Eukaryota; Metazoa; Chordata; Aves; Anseriformes; Anatidae.
GGCCAAGUCCUUAGCUUUUGGCUAAAUACUAACUGUUCAAAGUUGAUGCCUCAUGAAGGCACUGAUAACACUCCUACCCUGUGCAUGGUUAUGAUCUGUGGAUAUUCCCAGUGCUGGUUCACUUCCUGGAUGUUAUUUUCAAAUCCUCGGUGGUAAAGGGAAUGGAGGCCAAUGACCUCAGAUGAAUAUCCUGAUAAUGUCCACCGUCCUGUCUGAAGU